UUCUCUUUCGCCUUUUUUGUUUUCUUUGUACAGCACAGCAAUUGAAGACCCUGAAGUCACCAUGAAAACCACUUUCGUAUUCCUCCUGCUUGUUUUCUCCAUCGUCGCGAUGGAGGCCGCCGUCGCGCUUCCAGCUUCACUGAAGCAUUUCGCACGUGUCUACAGAGGUGCAGGCUCACGUCAGCUGUCAAAGAGAUGGCGUCAGGCAUGCCUCAACCUCGAGACUGGAGAGUUAAAGUACUGUGAAAUGCCAACUGAAAGUGGGUAACGCAGAUGAGGAAGCUACUGCGAGAAAACCUGACUGUCAUGGAUAUUGGAGACACUUCUUGAAUACGAGUUGGAUGCUCUGAAAAAUAAAAGUUACAAGUAUGUAA
This is a long non-coding RNA of Ornithodoros turicata, 374 nucleotides long. RefSeq lists it as uncharacterized. Lineage: Eukaryota; Metazoa; Arthropoda; Arachnida; Ixodida; Argasidae. The transcript is spliced from 4 exons. The record is from RefSeq and is a predicted model, not a curated record.